AGUGAACGCUGGCGGUAGGCCUAACACAUGCAAGUCGAACGGCAGCACAGUAAGAGCUUGCUCUUACGGGUGGCGAGUGGCGGACGGGUGAGGAGUACAUCGGAAUCUACUUUUUCGUGGGGGAUAACGUAGGGAAACUUACGCUAAUACCGCAUACGACCUACGGGUGAAAGCAGGGGAUCUUCGGACCUUGCGCGAUUGAAUGAGCCGAUGUCGGAUUAGCUAGUUGGCGGGGUAAAGGCCCACCAAGGCGACGAUCCGUAGCCGGUCUGAGAGGAUGAUCAGCCACACUGGAACUGAGACACGGUCCAGACUCCUACGGGAGGCAGCAGUGGGGAAUAUUGGACAAUGGGCGCAAGCCUGAUCCAGCCAUACCGCGUGGGUGAAGAAGGCCUUCGGGUUGUAAAGCCCUUUUGUUGGGAAAGAAAAGCAGCAGGUUAAUACCCCGCUGUUCUGACGGUACCCAAAGAAUAAGCACCGGCUAACUUCGUG
Molecule: ribosomal RNA, 492 nt
Filed under: uncultured bacterium
Lineage: Bacteria
Description: partial 16S ribosomal RNA
Rfam family: Bacterial small subunit ribosomal RNA
Source: RNAcentral